Aegilops tauschii subsp. strangulata is the source of this 1064-nucleotide non-coding RNA. NCBI's taxonomy places the organism in Eukaryota, Viridiplantae, Streptophyta, Magnoliopsida, Poales, Poaceae. The record is from RefSeq and is a predicted model, not a curated record.
CUUUCCCCACGACCCUGAUCUCCACUGCCGUUCCUCCUUACCCAUCCUGAUUUACUGUCGUUCUCAACGCCGGCCGCUUUGCCUGCUUCCGGAGCCUACCAUCGAGAUGGUGUGGACCGCACCGGAGAGCGCUGCCGCCCGGAACUCCUCGGUCAUCGCUAAUCUAGGCGGCUUCGUCAGCUGAGGAGCGACGACUUGGCCUCUGCCGCUGCACGCCGCCGGCCGGGGCCGCGUUGGCAGCAUGGAGGACGAGGUUGGGCCGACUCUAAGGUUGGCGGGGAAGGAGAGGCAGCAACGCUAGCUGCAGAACUCGGGGCCCGGCCGAACCGAGGGUGUCGUCGAGAUUCUCGAUGGUAAUCUCUGACGGAGGAUCCAGUGAUGGUGAAAUCCUACAGAGAUGGUCUUACGACAAGCUCCAUCCACCAGCGGCUAGACGGCGAGACCAGACUGCGACGGCGUGUCCACCCCGGUGCUAGGCGGAGCAAGGUGGACGCCCUCCUCCCCCCCUCCCCAGCUCUUGAAUUGGCGACCAUGGGGAAGGAAGGACGGACAACCGCAGCAGGGUGUGGUAGGAUUGCAUCCUCAAUCUCCCCCCUCUCCCUGCGCGCUGCGCCGGUCGCUCUCAGUGGAGGAAGCAUCCAAUUAGGUGGUGGUGGCUCCGACGGUUUGGGUACAACACGUCUGGUUGCAGAGAGGCAGGUGAUUAGAGUAGAAGCCGGCAAGCGGCGUCCGGAGAUUGCGCAAUGACCAACAAGUGGCUGAUGCUUGCACAUGGAAUGCUCUCUCUGAAGUUGUUCAAGACAAAGCACUGGGGUCAAUAAGUUGUGGCAAUUGGGGCGCAGGAGGAGGAUUAGCAAGAGUCUGCUGGAUUGCUUUCAUUAUGGUGGUGAUAUGUUCAAUAGCAUUGGUGAAACUACUCUUAGGCUGCUUCAUCGUCUUAGUGGGUGAUUUCACAUCUCUAGGUCGCUUCUUACCAGCCUGGUGUUUCUUAGAUGAGCCAAUUCCACCACUUGCUACCACUUUACUACUUGGAGGGGCUGGUAUUGUAUCAGAAUCAUUACCUU